AUUGAACGCUGGCGGCAUGCCUAACACAUGCAAGUCGAGCGGAUGAACGGAGCUUUCGCCUGGAUCCCGCGGCGGACGGGUGAGUAAUGCCUAUGAAUCUGCCUGGUAGUGGGGGAUAACGUCCUGAAACGGGCGCUAAUACCGCAGACGUCCAGCGGGAGAAAGUGGGGGAUCUUCGGACCUCACGCUAUCAGAUGAGCCUAGGUCGGAUUAGCUAGUUGGUUGGGUAAAUGCCUACCAAGUCGACGAUCCGUAACUGGUCUGAGAGGAUGGUCAGUCACACUGGAAGUUAACCAGGGUCCAGAGUCCUGCGGUAGGCAGCAGUGGGGAAUAUUGGACAAUGGUCGAGAGCAUGAUCCAGCGGUGCGGCGCGUGUGAAGAAGGUGUUCGGAGUGUGAAGCACUUUAAGUGGUGGGAAAGCGCAGUAAGUUAAGACGUAGCUGGAGUGACGUUAACAACAGAAGAAGCACCGGCUAACUACGUG
Molecule: ribosomal RNA, 484 nt
Filed under: uncultured bacterium
Lineage: Bacteria
Description: partial 16S ribosomal RNA
Rfam family: Bacterial small subunit ribosomal RNA
Source: RNAcentral